Molecule: RNA transcript, 2769 nt
Organism: Chroicocephalus ridibundus (black-headed gull)
Lineage: Eukaryota; Metazoa; Chordata; Aves; Charadriiformes; Laridae
Gene: C1H22orf23
Gene name: chromosome 1 C22orf23 homolog
Exons: 7
Source: RefSeq, a predicted model, not a curated record
CCCACUGCCCCCCCCGGCUCCGCGCUUCCGUGCCCUCCCCGGGCGCCGCUUCUCUCUAUGGAGACGUCGGAGCCCCGUGGGACACCGGGCCGCGGAGGGGGCUCGGCAGCGGGGGUAGCCCAGUACAGCCCGGCGACCCGGGAGCUGCUGAGAGUGAUGAUGGAGGAGACGAAGCUGACGCGUUUCCAGAGGCGGUACCUGAUGGACUGCAUGAAACGAGGAGAUACCCUGCCUCUCCAGUGCUACCCCACAUCCUGCAAAAAGCCAGCGCCUGCAGCGCCUGCUUUCUCCCCAGCAGUUUGUCAGCCGAGCAGGCUUUCAGCUAAACCGCAUCUCCGACCUGCCAAGGUCUGCCAGGCAGGAGAUGCCUACACGCGAGAGAAAUUCAAGCCACAGGCAAGGCGAGAUUUGGAAAAGGAGAAGCAGCGGCUCCAAAACAUCUUAGCGACAGGGAAGGAUGUGGUGGAGUGCAACGUGAGACAGACGCUGGUUCGGACAAAGGAAGAGGAGAUACCUGAGCCUGACCGGUUUGAAGAAUUGGUGAAUGAAGUUCAGGAGAGGAAGGAGUUCCUGGCAGAGAUGGAAGCUCUAGGACAGGGCAAGAAGUAUCAAAGUAUUGUCCUCACUGAAAUCUCACAGAAAAUGCGUGAGAUGGAGAUCAUUGACAAGAAGAGAAGUGAGGAAAUGAGAGAGAUUAUGACAAAAGACUUCCCUGGUGGGAAGUCUUUUUUCCUUGCUGGGAAAUCUGAUCCCCUGGACUAGGCCAAGGGAAAAACACAGGUGCAAUUUGUUCCCACCUCUUCUUCCCAGACUCUUGGCAUCGGAGUCUCAAGGGCUGCUCUGUGUCUGUGCCUGAAGAGACAGCGGCCCCACCUGUUGCCUAAAGCCAGGAGCAAUUUGUUCGUAACUGGUAACAGAAGAAAGCUGUUGUAAAAUCAUACCCACGCACUAGAUCCCUUCUUCCUCAACAAUAUUAAAGACACAGCAGCGGCCACCAAAACAUGACAAAGCAGAGCCUCCUUUUGCCUAUACAACGCUUCAGAGCGCAACAAUCCACUGAUAAAAAGGUCACUCCUUUCCAUCCACCUAGAGGUGGAGGUUUCUUGUGGCAGUGUGAUGAUAACACAUGUGUUACGACCCACAUCUACAACCCGCUCCUGUCCCCGUGACUCUGUGAAUGGCUGUGCUGGCAGAAGACGGGGAGGAAGAUGCAGCCGCGUGGCCUUGCAUAAGGACAAGCCUCCGGCAUUGCUGCAGAAAAUACCAGCUUGGGAACACAGGAGGAGCGAUGACAGCAAAGUUAUAUAUCAACUGCCCUCUAAACAUUCAUGACCUUAAUUUUGAAUGCCCUCACUUUCAGGAUAUGGGAGUGGUGCAGCUGGAAGCUUGAAUACUCCUUGGUGGCCCGGGCUGGGAUAGUAUUUUUUGACAAACAAAACUUCGUGUCCAUUCCACUCUGCCGCAGCAAACCAAAGCCUUUUUAGUAAACCGAGGCAAAUCUGCCUGGGAAAGCGGAUGUCAGCAGAGAGGAUGUGAAGCUCAAGAGGUAACAGGGGGGCUACCAAGCAGCAAGGGAAUACAAGGAGAUUUUUUCCCUAAUGCAGAAUUGCAGACUCUCAGCUUUUACCCGAGAUACUGAAGUCCAUCAGUACGGUGAUUUAAUGACCACAGUUUAUUCGGUUCCUCUCCACUGCAUUUUCCAGCUCCCUCUCCAAACAAGCCAAGCAGGACCUUGACGGUCUGCACCAUCCCACGUGCCGCUCUGUUGUGUGGCAUCCCCACGGCUCCGGGCACGUUCCCCGUACCAACGUACAAGGAGCACGGCCUCUCAGGCAUGGGGAAAAGCCACCCCAGGCACACCCCUUUUCUCUCUAUAAACUGCCUCCUCUGCAGAAAGACCAGAACUUGCCAUCCUGCAGCCCUGUGACACGCGGCCACAUGUCACAUUAUCUCCUUGCCCUGAUCUCAGCAGCCUUUCAUCCAGCCCUGCUCAGGCUCCUCUCCUGACAACGCACCAGUCCGAGGGAUCGGAUGUAAGAACAGGCGAGACUCCGGCCAUCCCAGUCGAACAACCAUCUUGACUCAGCAAGCCCCAGCGUCGCAGCAUAUCCUGGAGUAAUAUUUCCAUGCAAAUAACAUCCCAAGCGCUUACCUAAUUAGAUACAUACAGAGCCACUAAGCGCUCCGGGGUUUAGGGCAGCUGCCAGGGAGCACAGCAGACCCAGGGAAGGGGGAAGGGUGUGCCGUACAGCUAAAACCAGAGCAAAUUCCUGGAUUCCUCAAAUAUAAAUCAUGAGCAUUUUAACGGCAGCGCCGCAUAAUAGGCCCUUCAGCUUUCCAGGUCUUGUCAGGGAAAUGCAGGCAGUACAUGGGAAGGAACAAACAAGAUUUGUGAUGCUGCCUGUAACCGAACCCACGGCUCUGGGGACACAAUCCAACGUUUCUAAUGCACAGCGCUCAUCUCCUGUUUUCCUCAAGCCUCCAUCUCUCUCAGCACUCGAAAGGCAUGUGCCAUGCUCUCUUAUUCUUGGGUCAGGGAGGAUGCCAAGAACCUCCCCUGAGCUCCAGGGAGGCUGUACAGCUUGGGCCGCCGAAAGAUGCUUUUUGCUUCACUAAGCUGUGGCAAAUGCCUUGUAAACACUAAUUUCGUGCUUUAGAUUUCUAGAGCACUGAGCAAACAAACUCAUUAAUCCCCACGGUCCACUGUCAAGUUGGCCUGGACGCUUCCAGCUUAACUGACAAGGGAAAAGAAGAGAUUAAAUGUCUCGC